Molecule: transfer RNA, 84 nt
Filed under: Gammaproteobacteria bacterium
Lineage: Bacteria; Pseudomonadati; Pseudomonadota; Gammaproteobacteria
Description: tRNA-Leu
Rfam family: tRNA
About the family: Transfer RNA (tRNA) molecules are approximately 80 nucleotides in length. Their secondary structure includes four short double-helical elements and three loops (D, anti-codon, and T loops).
Source: RNAcentral
GCCGAGGUGGCGGAACUGGCAGACGCGCGCGACUCAAACUCGCGUGGGGUAACACCCGUGUGGGUUCAAAUCCCACCCUCGGUA